ACAAACCCAUGCUCUGCUAACGGGGUAGGAUCUGACGCCUCCGCGAAGGCUAACAUAGGCUCUCCUACUCAACUCCCAUUCCGGCACGUCCAAGCCGUGCAGAGCGGUAACAUGCGUUAGCAACGGGUACAAGGGUAUGGCUGCACCCUUUCUACUUUUUGGUCGAAGUAGAUGGUAACGCAUGGCCAAGCCGGAGGGA
Molecule: non-coding RNA, 199 nt
Organism: Anopheles minimus
Lineage: Eukaryota; Metazoa; Arthropoda; Insecta; Diptera; Culicidae
Source: Rfam